RNAcentral lists this ribosomal RNA (201 nucleotides) under uncultured bacterium. RNAcentral describes it as "partial 16S ribosomal RNA". It matches the Rfam family "Bacterial small subunit ribosomal RNA", at positions 1300 to 1500 of the family's 1533-position model. The record is from RNAcentral.
GCAGGCUGCGACCCGCCUGCAUGAAGUUGGAAUCGCUAGUAAUCGCGGAUCAGCAUGCCGCGGUGAAUACGUUCCCGGGCCUUGUACACACCGCCCGUCACACCAUGAGAGUCGGGAACACCCGAAGUCCGUAGCCUAACCGCAAGGGGGGCGCGGCCGAAGGUGGGUUCGAUAAUUGGGGUGAAGUCGUAACAAGGUAAC